This 318-nucleotide ribosomal RNA is filed under the name Triticum aestivum (bread wheat). RNAcentral describes it as "partial small subunit ribosomal RNA". Lineage: Eukaryota; Viridiplantae; Streptophyta; Magnoliopsida; Poales; Poaceae. The record is from RNAcentral.
AUGUGGUUAUUUGUUUUGCGAGUGGCUUAUAGUUCGGUGUGUUUGAAUUUUGGUUCAUGUACGAUUAUGAGUUCGUCUUGUAAGGAACAUGAGAUGAAAAUGCCACUAUCACAUGUUCCAUUUUGGUUAUUAUUUAAUAUAUUUUCUUGUCUGGAACACGAUAAAUUAACAAGCUUUUGCAGCUUCGUUUGGAAUCAUAUUUUUGCAGGAAACAAUAAUAAUUCGGUGGCCACAGGAAUCGAGGGAAAAAAUGAUCCUGUAUGUGGUUGGGCUUGGCCCAGUAAUUAUCACCACGUGACCAUCUCGGCUCUCGGGUAA